RNAcentral lists this unclassified non-coding RNA (346 nucleotides) under soil metagenome. RNAcentral describes it as "partial contains 5.8S ribosomal RNA, internal transcribed spacer 2, and large subunit ribosomal RNA". The stretch from base 1 to 121 matches the Rfam family "5.8S ribosomal RNA", at positions 35 to 154 of the family's 154-position model. The record is from RNAcentral.
GAUGAAGAACGUAGCGAAAUGCGAUAAGUAAUGCGAAUUGCAGAAUUUCCGUGAGUCAUCGAAUCUUUGAACGCACAUUGCGCCCACUGGUAUUCCGGUGGGCAUGCCUGUUCGAGCGUCAUUAUCCUCCCUCAAACCCCGGGUUUGGUGUUGGACCGAAGUUGUGUGAACAACUGGUCUAAAAAACAAUGACGGCGUCCGUGGGACCCUCGGUGCAACGAGCUUUUAGGAGCACGCGCCGAGCUGCAAGGACCUUCCGGGCCGGUCUCCUUUUACUAUUUUACAAGGUUGACCUCGGAUCAGGUAGGAAUACCCGCUGAACUUAAGCAUAUCAAUAAGCGGAGGA